Molecule: long non-coding RNA, 439 nt
Filed under: Sorghum bicolor (sorghum)
Lineage: Eukaryota; Viridiplantae; Streptophyta; Magnoliopsida; Poales; Poaceae
Description: long non-coding RNA (SBIC_LNC014845)
Source: RNAcentral
AGUUCUUGACUUGGAUCUUUCCACUAGAUUCUUGCACCUUUCAAUUUCCUUCCUCAUUUCACUAAGCAUUUCAUAUGUAACAUUAGGACAUUUACCUAUUCCCUUUCCUCCCUUCUGCAGCAAAUGAGCUUCAACUCUAGUGUAACUACUCAGUUUUUGCAUUGGACAGUACUUGCAGCGCCACAUAGCAUUCCCUCCACCAGUUCUAGGCUUCUCCAGAAUGGUGACAUGAUCCCAAAGUGGAGCCUUGAUGUCUGUUGUAUUUGUAGCUGCAGAUCCUAUGCUAUGACUAGCACUUGCACUAGCGCUGCUCAUAUUUGGAGAUGCCAUCUACUGCAUACAAGAAUACAAGCAACAAGAACUCACUAACUGCAGAUCGAGGGGGCAAAGAAAUUCGUCACUAGAACCACAAGAUGAGGAACAACUGAAGAAGGGGAUG